CAGGGAGUCUUGGAGAUGUCUCAUCCACAGGGUCAGCAUGAGUUGGGAUCAACUCGAAGGGCAGUUAACAACAGCGAUCAGACCUAGCCAUGGAAAAAGUGCCAUGAAGUCACAACCAGUCCUUUAAAGGAGACCUGGUGGCGUAGUGGUUAAUUUCAGGUACUGCAGCCACAAGAUUGUGAGUCUGAUCCUAGAACAGGGCUCCAAGGUUGACCCAGCCUUCCGUCAUUUCAUAGGUUGGUAAAAUGAGUACCCAGCUUUUGGGUGCAAAUUGACUUACAGAUUGUAAACUGCUUAGAGAGUGCUGAGUUUACUGAUAAGCGGCAUAGAAAUGUUCUUGCUAUUGCUCUGGACUCAAAAGAAGGUGAUUUUUGGCACACUUUCCCCACCAUGUCACUCACUUCUUCACUUGCUUUGCAGCCAGAAAAUUAGACUGGGCAGGAAAGUACAUGGUACCAAUCCUUGGGGAAGGCAGCAGGAGAGGGAGCUGAAGACUUCCUCUUCCCAGGACCAUUUCUGUCUUAACAGCAACACCACACAAAAAGUGUGUGUGUGUGUGACCAUCUGCAGCUUGGGAUUCCUAGACACUGAGGGCCAUAAAACAUUUGCUCCAGUUGCACCACUGAUAAUCAAACCCUGGGCAGAGGCAGUGUUCCAGUGGAAUGUGUGUGGUUUUACCUGGUGGCACAGUGGUUACUGCUGGUACUGCGGCCACAGGGUUGUGAAUUCGAUCCCAGGGCUCCAAGAUUGACUCAGCCUUCCAUCCUUUCAUAGAAUUUCUUAGAAAUGUGUCACCAAAAAGGAACAGCUCAUUCUGGACAGUGAUACUACCUCCGACAAUGGGGGACACCUGGCUCAAGGAGACAACAUGUGAAAGGGAUCUAGGAGUCCAAGUAGACCACAAGUU
Molecule: long non-coding RNA, 907 nt
Organism: Sceloporus undulatus (fence lizard)
Lineage: Eukaryota; Metazoa; Chordata; Lepidosauria; Squamata; Phrynosomatidae
Exons: 3
Source: RefSeq, a predicted model, not a curated record